Non-coding RNA from Danio rerio (zebrafish), 54 nucleotides. The record is from Rfam. NCBI's taxonomy places the organism in Eukaryota, Metazoa, Chordata, Actinopteri, Cypriniformes, Danionidae.
UGUAUUCAUGGGUAUAAGUCACUUUGGAUAAAAGCGUCUGCUAAAUGCUUUAAU